CUUGUACUGUUACCUGAGAAAAGCAGUAACUGAAAAGGAGAAAGGAUCAGAUAUCCCAAAACCAGGAAUCAUCCAGAGUGCAGAUGAUGCAGUUUUUGCGAGUGAGAUCGGAAGCAUAGCAAAGGAAUCGUACAACCUGUGAAUUCAGUUUAAUUACUGAGAUCAAGGAUGGUGAAACAUUCAUUAUGAUUAUACAGAGCUACAAAGAUUUAUGUUAAGAACCCAAAUUAUCAUAAUGAAUUGAGACGAGAC
This is a long non-coding RNA of Sitophilus oryzae (rice weevil), 252 nucleotides long. RefSeq lists it as uncharacterized. The record is from RefSeq and is a predicted model, not a curated record. Lineage: Eukaryota; Metazoa; Arthropoda; Insecta; Coleoptera; Curculionidae. The transcript has 3 exons.